CGGUCGGGUGAGUAAUGCUUGGGAAUCUGGCUUAUGGAGGGGGAUAACUACGGGAAACUGUAGCUAAUACCGCGUAAUAUCUUCGGAUUAAAGGGUGGGACUUUCGGGCCACCUGCCAUAAGAUGAGCCCAAGUGGGAUUAGGUAGUUGGUGGGGUAAAGGCCUACCAAGCCGACGAUCUCUAGCUGGUCUGAGAGGAUGACCAGCCACACUGGAACUGAGACACGGUCCAGACUCCUACGGGAGGCAGCAGUGGGGAAUAUUGCACAAUGGGGGGAACCCUGAUGCAGCCAUGCCGCGUGAAUGAAGAAGGCCUUCGGGUUGUAAAGUUCUUUCGGUGAUGAGGAAGGUGUUUGUUUUAAUAGAACAAGCAAUUGACGUUAGUCACAGAAGAAGCACCGGCUAACUCCGUGCCAGCAGCCGCGGUAAUACGGAGGGUGCGAGCGUUAAUCGGAAUGACUGGGCGUAAAGGGCACGCAGGCGGUGACUUAAGUGAGAUGUGAAAGCCCCGAGCUUAACUUGGGAAUUGCAUUUCAUACUGGGUCGCUAGAGUAUUUUAGGGAGGGGUAGAAUUCCACGUGUAGCGGUGAAAUGCGUAGAGAUGUGGAGGAAUACCGAAGGCGAAGGCAGCCCCUUGGGAAUAUACUGACGCUCAUGUGCGAAAGCGUGGGGAGCAAACAGGAUUAGAUACCCUGGUAGUCCACGCUGUAAACGCUGUCGAUUUGGGGAUUGGGCUUUAAGCUUGGUGCCCGUAGCUAACGUGAUAAAUCGACCGCCUGGGGAGUAC
This 786-nucleotide ribosomal RNA is filed under the name uncultured Actinobacillus sp. RNAcentral describes it as "bacterial SSU rRNA". It matches the Rfam family "Bacterial small subunit ribosomal RNA", at positions 99 to 883 of the family's 1533-position model. Lineage: Bacteria; Pseudomonadati; Pseudomonadota; Gammaproteobacteria; Pasteurellales; Pasteurellaceae. The record is from RNAcentral.